This 1493-nucleotide ribosomal RNA is filed under the name uncultured bacterium. RNAcentral's name for it is "bacterial SSU rRNA". It matches the Rfam family "Bacterial small subunit ribosomal RNA". The record is from RNAcentral.
CUCAGGAUGAACGCUAGCGAUAGGCUUAACACAUGCAAGUCGAGGGGUAACACGUAGGGUAGCUUGCUACCCUUGGUGACGACCGGCGGAUGGGUGCGUAACGCGUAUGCAACCUGCCUUAUAGAGGGGGAUAACCCGGAGAAAUUCGGACUAAUACCGCGUAAUAUAGAAGGGGGCAUCCUCUUUUAUUGAAAGAUUAAUUGCUAUAAGAUGGGCAUGCGUUCCAUUAGGUAGUUGGUAGGGUAAUGGCCUACCAAGCCGACGAUGGAUAGGGGAGCUGAGAGGCUGAACCCCCACACUGGGACUGAGACACGGCCCAGACUCCUACGGGAGGCAGCAGUGAGGAAUAAUGGUCAAUGGAGGCAACUCUGAACCUGCCAAGUCGCGUGAAGGAAGACGGUCCUAAGGAUUGUAAACUUCUUUAGUAGGUGAGUAGAAGUAGGGUCGUGUACCCUAUAGGCAAGUAACCUAAGAAUAAGUAUCGGCUAACUCCGUGCCAGCAGCCGCGGUAAUACGGGGGAUACGAGCGUUAUCCGGAAUUAUUGGGUUUAAAGGGUGCGUAGGUUGUUGUUUAAGUCAGUGGUGAAAAGCUAGGGCUCAACCCUAGUCUUGCCGUUGAAACUGGAUAGCUAGAGAGUAGACGCUGUGGGCGGAAUAUGUGGUGUAGCGGUGAAAUGCAUAGAUAUCACGUGGAACUCCGAUUGCGUAGGCAGCUCACAAGACUACGUCUGACACUGAAGCACGAAAGCGUGGGGAUCAAACAGGAUUAGAUACCCUGGUAGUCCACGCCGUAAACGAUGAUUACUCGGAGUAUGCGAUAUAAUGUAUGCUCCCAAGCGAAAGCGAUAAGUAAUCCACCUGGGGAGUACGUUGGCAACGAUGAAACUCAAAGGAAUUGACGGGGGCCCGCACAAGCGGAGGAACAUGUGGUUUAAUUCGAUGAUACGCGAGGAACCUUACCCGGGAUUGAAAUGUGUAGGAAGAGGAGAGGAAACUUUUCUUGUCUGGUUUACCAGUCUGCAUGUAGGUGCUGCGUGGUUGUCGUCAGCUCGUGCCGUGAGGUGUCGGCUUAAGUGCCAUAACGAGCGCAACCCUUAUCGUUAGUUGCUAUCAGGUAAAGCUGAGGACUCUAGCGAGACUGCCGUCGUAAGGCGAGAGGAAGGUGGGGAUGACGUCAAAUCAGCACGGCCCUUACAUCCGGGGCGACACACGUGUUACAAUGGUGAGGACAGAGGGCAGCUACCUGGCGACAGGGUGCGAAUCUCGAAACCUCAUCUCAGUUCGGAUCGGAGUCUGCAACUCGACUCCGUGAAGCUGGAUUCGCUAGUAAUCGCGCAUCAGCCAUGGCGCGGUGAAUACGUUCCCGGGCCUUGUACACACCGCCCGUCAAGCCAUGGGAGUUGGGGGUACCUGAAGUGCGUGACCGCGAGGAGCGUCCGAGGGUAAACCUGAUGACUGGGGCUAAGUCGUAACAAAGGUAACGUAAGCUUCAC